GAGGGAAACCGAGUCUUAACCGGGCGUUAAGUUGCAGGGUAUAGACCCGAAACCCGGUGAUCUAGCCAUGGGCAGGUUGAAGGUUGGGUAACACGAACUGGAGGACCGAACCGACUAAUGUUGAAAAAUUAGCGGAUGACCUGUGGCUGGGGGUGAAAGGCCAAUCAAACCGGGAGAUAGCUGGUUCUCCCCGAAAGCUAUUUAGGUAGCGCCUCGUGAAUUCAUCUCCGGGGGUAGAGCACUGUUUCGGCUAGGGGGCCAUCCCGGCUUACCAACCCGAUGCAAACUGCGAAUACCGGAGAAUGUUAUCACGGGAGACACACGGCGGGUGCUAACGUCCGUCGUGAAGAGGGAAACAACCCAGACCGCCAGCUAAGGUCCCAAAGUCAUGGUUAAGUGGGAAACGAUGUGGGAAGGCCCAGACAGCCAGGAUGUUGGCUUAGAAGCAGCCAUCAUUUAAAGAAAGCGUAAUAGCUCACUGGUCGAGUCGGCCUGCGCGGAAGAUGUAACGGGGCUAAACCAUGCACCGAAGCUGCGGCAGCGACGCUGAUGCGUUGUUGGGUAGGGGAGCGUUCUGUAAGCCUGCGAAGGUGGCCUGUGAGGGUUGCUGGAGGUAUCAGAAGUGCGAAUGCUGACAUAAGUAACGAUAAAGCGGGUGAAAAGCCCGCUCGCCGGAAGACCAAGGGUUCCUGUCCAACGUUAAUCGGGGCAGGGUGAGUCGACCCCUAAGGCGAGGCCGAAAGGCGUAGUCGAUGGGAAACGGGUUAAUAUUCCCGUACUUGGUGUUACUGCGAAGGGGGGACGGAGAAGGCUAUGUUGGCCGGGCGACGGUUGUCCCGGUUUAAGCGUGUAGGUGUGUGUUCCAGGUAAAUCCGGUU
RNAcentral lists this ribosomal RNA (878 nucleotides) under Salmonella enterica. RNAcentral describes it as "partial 23S ribosomal RNA". It matches the Rfam family "Bacterial large subunit ribosomal RNA", at positions 668 to 1547 of the family's 2925-position model. The record is from RNAcentral. Lineage: Bacteria; Pseudomonadati; Pseudomonadota; Gammaproteobacteria; Enterobacterales; Enterobacteriaceae.